UACGUAGGCAGCAAGCGUUGUUCGGAAUUAUUGGGCGUAAAGGGUGCGUAGGCGGUUUCGUAAGUUUGGUGUGAAAUCUCCCGGCUUAACUGGGAGGGUGCGCCGAAAACUGCGAGGCUUGAGUGUGGGAGAGGUAGGCGGAAUUCCUGGUGUAGCGGUGAAAUGCGUAGAUAUCAGGAGGAACACCGGUGGUGUAGACGGCUUACUGGACCAUGACUGACGCUGAUGCACGAAAGCGUGGGGAG
Molecule: ribosomal RNA, 245 nt
Filed under: uncultured bacterium
Lineage: Bacteria
Description: partial 16S ribosomal RNA
Rfam family: Bacterial small subunit ribosomal RNA
Source: RNAcentral